This is a long non-coding RNA of Etheostoma spectabile (orangethroat darter), 226 nucleotides long. RefSeq lists it as uncharacterized. The record is from RefSeq and is a predicted model, not a curated record. The transcript has 2 exons. NCBI's taxonomy places the organism in Eukaryota, Metazoa, Chordata, Actinopteri, Perciformes, Percidae.
CGAUCCCACUGGCUCCUCAGCUUGGCGGCCAUGCCUGUUGCAUAAAUGGGCUCCUCCAUCCUGAGUUUGUGGAGUUAACUGUGGGGUCACCCUGUCAGCUGGAAUGAUUGUAGGUGAGGCUCAAAAUGCGAAGGCAGACGUCCCAGUGAGCACCAAUCACAGUUUGUUGUUGUUUUUUGUCCCGAUGCCAACAGGGGGGGACGGGCCUCAGUCCUUCCUUGUCCAA